CUGAAUGGUCUUCUCCAGGUUCAAAAUGGAUAAUUGAUGACUCUGCAUUUUCAUCUCCUGGGCUGUCUGAUGUGGAUAGCAGCUGUUCAAGUAGAUGAGGGUAACUGGCUUGAACUUGACGGAUGAACUCCUGUCCUUUAAUUCUUAUCAAGUACUCACACCUUGGAAACCACUUGGCAUGUUGAACCCAUGGAUCAUCUCCAGAUUCCCAACACCUGAGUCCACCAUCACAGCAAAAGCAUUUGACAUCAUCACUGUUACCUAAAAUUAAUUUUAGACCAAAACUUAUGAAUACACAUAAUUUGCCCACUAAAAUGUAUAAAAUGAAA
RNAcentral lists this long non-coding RNA (329 nucleotides) under Homo sapiens (human). RNAcentral's name for it is "LNC_000767". Lineage: Eukaryota; Metazoa; Chordata; Mammalia; Primates; Hominidae. The record is from RNAcentral.